This 406-nucleotide ribosomal RNA is filed under the name uncultured bacterium. RNAcentral's name for it is "partial 16S ribosomal RNA". It matches the Rfam family "Bacterial small subunit ribosomal RNA", at positions 30 to 526 of the family's 1533-position model. The record is from RNAcentral.
AUUGAACGCUGGCGGCAGGCCUAACACAUGCAAGUCGAACGAGUGGCGGACGGGUGAGUAAUGUAUGGAAAACUGCCUGAUGGAGGGGGAUAACUACUGGAAACGGUAGCUAAUACCGCAUACCAUCAGAUGUGCCCAGAUGGGCUUAGCUUGUUGGUGGGGUAACGGCUAACCAAGGCGACGAUCCCUAGCUGGUCUGAGAGGAUGACCAGCAACACUGGAACUGAGCCACGGUCCAGACUCCUACGGGAGGAAACAGUGGGGAAUAUUGGACAAUGGGCGCAAGCCUGAUGCAGCAAUGCCGCGUGGAUGAAGAAGGCCUUCGGGUUGUAAAGUACGUUCAGCGGGGAGGCGUUACCCGCAGAAGAAGCACCGGCUAACUCCGUGCCAGCAGCCGCGGUAAUAC